This 497-nucleotide ribosomal RNA is filed under the name uncultured bacterium. RNAcentral describes it as "partial 16S ribosomal RNA". It matches the Rfam family "Bacterial small subunit ribosomal RNA", at positions 28 to 507 of the family's 1533-position model. The record is from RNAcentral.
GACGAACGCUGGCGGCGUGCCUAAUACAUGCAAGUUGAGCGCUGAAGGUUGGUACUUGUACCGACUGGAUGAGCAGCGAACGGGUGGGUAACGCGUGGGGAAUCUGCCUUUGAGCGGGGGACAACAUUUGGAAACGAAUGCUAAUACCGCAUAAAAACUUUAAACACAAGUUUUAAGUUUGAAAGAUGCAAUUGCAUCACUCAAAGAUGAUCCCGCGUUGUAUUAGCUAGUUGGUGAGGUAAAGGCUCACCAAGGCGAUGAUACAUAGCCGACCUGAGAGGGUGAUCGGCCACAUUGGGACUGAGACACGGCCCAAACUCCUACGGGAGGCAGCAGUAGGGAAUCUUCGGCAAUAGACGAAAGUCUGACCGAGCAACGCCGCGUGAGUGAAGAAGGUUUUCGGAUCGUAAAACUCUGUUGGUAGAGAAGAACGUUGGUGAGAGUGGAAAGCUCAUCAAGUGACGGUAACUACCCAGAAAGGGACGGCUAACUACGUG